RNAcentral lists this unclassified non-coding RNA (378 nucleotides) under plant metagenome. Its description in RNAcentral is "partial contains 5.8S ribosomal RNA, internal transcribed spacer 2, and large subunit ribosomal RNA". The stretch from base 1 to 105 matches the Rfam family "5.8S ribosomal RNA", at positions 50 to 154 of the family's 154-position model. The record is from RNAcentral.
GAAAUGCGAUAAGUAAUGUGAAUUGCAGAAUUCAGUGAAUCAUCGAAUCUUUGAACGCAUCUUGCGCUCCUUGGUAUUCCUUGGAGCAUGCCUGUUUGAGUAUCAUGAAAUCUUCAAAGUAAAGCGUUUGUUAACUCAAUUGGUUUCUACUUUGGUAUUGGAGGUCUUUGCAGCUUCACACCUGCUCCUCUUUGUUCAUUAGCUGGAUCUCAGUGUUAUGCUUGGUUCCACUCGGCGUGAUAAGUUAUCUAUCGCUGAGGACACUGUAAAAGGUGGCCAAGGUAAAUGCAGAUGAACCGCUUCUAAUAGUCCAUUGACUUGGACAAUACUUUUAUGAUCUGAUCUCAAAUCAGGUAGGACUACCCGCUGAACUUAAGC